Molecule: long non-coding RNA, 571 nt
Organism: Scylla paramamosain (green mud crab)
Lineage: Eukaryota; Metazoa; Arthropoda; Malacostraca; Decapoda; Portunidae
Exons: 2
Source: RefSeq, a predicted model, not a curated record
UUUUUUUCAGUGUUUCAUUACAUCGAGUUUCGCGAUCGAGUGUAGCGCUGUACCUUGGGAAGAAAGCAAGAGCGAAACUAGGGAAGGGAGUGUACAAUAUUUGACUUUCAUGAGAACUGGUAACUGGCAUUUUUGUUUCCAUGACCACAUUUGGCUCCCUCUUGUUAGUGUUUAUUGACAACUUUGUAAUAACACAUGUAUCCGUUGGUAAAAUACAAUUCCUCUUCCCCCUCCCUCCAUGCUCACACCAUUGUACGCAUUGGCACCUACACACAUUGCACAAUAUUUGACAACAGAGAACGUGACACUAAUAUAUACAAACAUGGAAACCAGCCACAUGUUAGCAUACUAUCUUCUGAACUCCAAGAUGCUCCACGUCAGAACUCAAAAUCUUCUACUUGGGAUGAUAAUUUUGUUGGUGGUUGAGAUUCACAGCUGUGAGGCACAUCAAACUCACACCAAGAGGCUUUUAAACGCAAGCAAGAUAUACAGAAAAUAUGAUAUUCCAGUUACCCAUAUUCAAGCGAUUGACGCUUGUCGAAUAAUGCGUGGUCGCCUUGCAUUGCCUGAG